Molecule: ribosomal RNA, 194 nt
Filed under: Buchnera aphidicola (Myzus persicae)
Lineage: Bacteria; Pseudomonadati; Pseudomonadota; Gammaproteobacteria; Enterobacterales; Erwiniaceae
Description: partial 16S ribosomal RNA
Rfam family: Bacterial small subunit ribosomal RNA
Source: RNAcentral
CCUACGGGAGGCAGCAGUGGGAAAUAUUGCACAAUGGGCGAAAGCCUGAUGCAGCUAUGCCGCGUGUAUGAAGAAGGCCUUAGGGUUGUAAAGUACUUUCAGCAGGGAGGAAAGAAAUAAAACUAAUAAUUUUAUUUUGUGACGUUACCUGAAGAAGAAGCACCGGCUAACUCCGUGCCAGCAGCCGCGGUAAU